RNAcentral lists this ribosomal RNA (252 nucleotides) under uncultured bacterium. Its description in RNAcentral is "partial 16S ribosomal RNA". It matches the Rfam family "Bacterial small subunit ribosomal RNA", at positions 524 to 776 of the family's 1533-position model. The record is from RNAcentral.
UACGUAGGGCCCGAGCGUUGUCCGGAUUUAUUGGGCGUAAAGCGUGCGCAGGCGGUUUAUCAAGUCUGAAGUAAAAGGCAAUGGCUCAACUAUUGUAUGCAUUUGAAACUGCUAGUCUUGAGUUCUGGAGGGGAGAGUGGAAUUCCUUGUGUAGCGGUGAAAUGCGCAGAUAUUUGGAGGAAUACCGGUGGCGAAGGCGGCUCUCUGGCCAGAAACUGACGCUGAGGUACGAAAGCGUGGGGAGCAAACAGG